Molecule: transfer RNA, 85 nt
Filed under: Clostridiales bacterium
Lineage: Bacteria; Bacillati; Bacillota; Clostridia; Eubacteriales
Description: tRNA-Leu
Rfam family: tRNA
About the family: Transfer RNA (tRNA) molecules are approximately 80 nucleotides in length. Their secondary structure includes four short double-helical elements and three loops (D, anti-codon, and T loops).
Source: RNAcentral
GACAGAGUGGUAGAGUCAGGUCAAAUACAAUGGAUUCAAAACCCAUUAUCGUAGGGUUGCAAGGGUUCGAAUCCCUUCUCUGUCA